UAUUUUUCUAUCCAGAUACCACUUUUUGUUUGCUCAUUUUCAGGCACAACCUAAACAGAGAUUGGACCUCUGUCAAAGAACUAUGACAGACACGGUGGUCGAUUCACGCAACAACGCGGCGGUGCAAGCCACCAACGACGACGCAUCCGCCAGUAAAUUGUCAUGUGUAAAAAAGGGCUACAUGAAAGAUGAUUAUGUUCAUUUAUUUGUGAGAAGACCCGUGAGGAGAUCUCCAAUUAUUAAUCGUGGUUACUUUGCCCGUUGGGCUGCUAUUAGGAAACUGCUCUAUCAGUUUCUUGACAUUGAGAAGAAGGCAGAUGGAGAUGCCCCAAUAAAGAAGCAGAUAUUAUCACUUGGAGCAGGCUUUGAUACAACAUAUUUUCAGUUGCAGGACGAGGGGAAAGCACCAGAUUUGUAUGUUGAAGUGGAUUUUAAGGAGGUAACUAGUAAAAAGGCAGCUCUUAUCGAGACUAACAGUCAAUUGAGGAAUAAACUUGGUGAAACAGCAACCAUAUCAAGAGAGAAAGGAGAAGUGGUCAGUGCUCAAUAUAAACUAGUCCCUGCAGAUUUGCGUGAUGUAAAACAAUUAAAUGAUAUUAUAUCUGUUGCUGCUAUGGAUCCAAGUCUGCCAACUUUUAUAAUUUCAGAAUGUGUUCUGAUCUACUUGGAUCCAGAUUCUAGUCGUAGAAUUGUUGGUUGGGCUUCUCAAAUGUUUUCUACAGCAAUAUUUUUUCUUUAUGAGCAGAUCCUCCCUGAUGAUGCUUUUGGGCAGCAGAUGAUGAGAAAUUUGGAGUCUCGAGGUUGUGCUCUGUUGGGUAUUUAUGAUACACCAACUUUACAUGCGAAGGAAAAAUUAUUUCUGGACCAAGGAUGGCAGAAAUCUGUUGCGUGGGACAUGCUGAGAGUUUACAAUGAUUUUAUUGAUGCUCAAGAGAGACGCAGAUGGAAGGGUGAUGUGUCGAUUUUUGANCACGUGGCNGUCUGAUUUCUCUGCCUCCUNUCCCACUCCAACUCCUCCAUGGCCAUUUCCAAACCCUAGCCGCCGCACCAAACCCUUCCCAUCAAACCCUAGCCGCCGCACCAGAUCCGUCGUCGGCAGUCGUACCCCAACAGAUCAACACGCAUUCAACCAUCAACGACGACCACCACUCUCUCAAUCUCCACCGCAGAAGCCACCGGUAGCCCCCAUCAAAGCACCGCUGCAUUCAUCUUUUCCUCCAUCACCGACCUCCAAAGCUUUGCCGAACUCCUCUGUUAGCCGUCGCAGGUCACGAGGCCUCCUUCUCCUUCAUCUUCAUCAACCUAAAAAUCCCAAACAACAGAGUUCUCUACCAAAUCGCACCAUGGCCGCCGCGCUUUCUAUCAUCUGCGAGCACCUCCUCCACUCCCAAACUCCAUGGAAACCGUGAAGCAUCUUCACGAGUCUGCGCCACCACCUGCAUCAAAACCAGACCUGCAACAAACAAACCCAGAAGCAGAAAAUCCAAUUCCAGGAUCGAACGGCUGGAGUUGUUUGAUGAAUUCGAAGAGUGGUACAUGAUGCAGGAGCACUACUGUGUGGCAUAUGCAAUCAAUGAUGGCAUGGGUCUUUUUGGGGAUUUUGGUUUCGUUAAUGACAGCAGUGAGC
This is an RNA transcript of Vigna radiata var. radiata (mung bean), 1627 nucleotides long. It is a transcript of the gene named tRNA wybutosine-synthesizing protein 4, with no coding region annotated. The transcript is spliced from 14 exons. Lineage: Eukaryota; Viridiplantae; Streptophyta; Magnoliopsida; Fabales; Fabaceae. The record is from RefSeq and is a predicted model, not a curated record.